ACAACUUUCAGCAACGGAUCUCUUGGCUCUCGCAUCGAUGAAGAACGCAGCGAAUUGCGAUAAGUAAUGUGAAUUGCAGAUUUUCAGUGAAUCAUCGAAUCUUUGAACGCACCUUGCGCUCCUUGGUAUUCCGAGGAGCAUGCCUGUUUGAGUGU
This 155-nucleotide ribosomal RNA is filed under the name Boletus edulis. RNAcentral describes it as "5.8S ribosomal RNA". It matches the Rfam family "5.8S ribosomal RNA". Rfam says of the family: 5.8S ribosomal RNA (5.8S rRNA) is a component of the large subunit of the eukaryotic ribosome. It is transcribed by RNA polymerase I as part of the 45S precursor that also contains 18S and 28S rRNA. The record is from RNAcentral. Lineage: Eukaryota; Fungi; Basidiomycota; Agaricomycetes; Boletales; Boletaceae. RNAcentral also lists the same sequence under 2 other names.